Molecule: long non-coding RNA, 2597 nt
Organism: Taeniopygia guttata (zebra finch)
Lineage: Eukaryota; Metazoa; Chordata; Aves; Passeriformes; Estrildidae
Source: Ensembl
CUGUUCCAGCUGAAGCCAAGUUUAUGUGGCAGAUGGAUUGUUGGAGCUAGGCAUAUUCUCUGCAGUUUUAUGUUUAAUUUUUACCACUGUGAGAAAAAAAAAAGUUACCUGUGCAGAGCACAGUCCCCAUUUUUACUUUCUUCUGGUCUGACUGAGCUGAUGGGGAAUUACAUGGUGAGCGUGCAGGCUCAGGUUUUUGUCUUCCCUCCAGGUGAUGCAUCUUGGCUGGAAGUGCUGGCAAAUUCAGGAUCUUCACAGCCACAGAAAGGCAGAAAGGACUCUGAAGCUGAUACACUGAUACAGAGCAACCUUUUCUUUCCAAUCCUUUCUCAUUUGUGCUUGACAGGAAUGAGUCUCACCUCUCCUAACUGGAGAGUUGCCUGUCAGACUCAAGAGUUAGAGGUCACCCCUAAUCAUUCUUGGCCAUCAAUUGAAAGUUUACAAAGGGCUGCUGGCAGCAUCUUUUUCUUUCUUCUUUAUUGCUGAAAAUGUCAGAAAUGGAUCACCACAAAGCCUCUUGGUAUAUGAAGGGAGGAACAAUGUCACCAAGUGCUGAUUCUGUUGUUCCUGAAGUCUUCAGAUACGUUUAUUGUCCCCAUUCAAACUUUACAGCUGAAGGAAGCUGGGAAGAGAAAUUGCUGUAAAUAUCUGUAAUUUACUACUGCAGUUUGUGAAAAAUGAAUCUUUAAAAAAAAAAAAUCUAUUUUUUAGCACAGUAUUUCCCUCAUACCUCAGCCACCUGCAAACCCUGGUGCAAUGUGGGAUACUUAGUUCUAGGAUGUGGGUUCAAAAUGCUGUACAAAAUAAGAUUAUACAGACACUUCAGUUUCAAGUAUGCUUUUCUCACAUAUCAGUUUACUAUAGCCAUCCCUUUGUCCACAACCACAUUUCUUCUAUCUGGAUGUGAAGUGAGGAAUAGUUUUGCUUUGGGGCAUUUUUCUGCCAGGAGAUGUAAUUCAGGAGCAGGGUUUCUUUUGAGAACUGACAAAACCAGAUUGUUAUCCCAGUAAAGUCAUGGUCUCCUUGAGAUUUAUGCAUAAUCCCAGACUGGCUUUGUCAAACAUUUAUGUCGUGUCACCAGUCCUGAGCACCUUAAAAUGUGAAGCAUCUGAAGCUUGUUCUGUAGCUGCUGCUAGGGUAUGUUAGCCUGGGAAAGCCUGGGCAGAGGCCAAGGACACAGAAGGAUGCUUUGUCAUUCAUUUUGGGUUUAAACAAACCAGGAAUGGUGCUGUAGUGGUUCUUCAGCUGCUUUUGUAUAUGAGGCACUUGUAGCCAAAUGCUGUUAGAAAACUCAAUUUCUUUGGCUAAAGGUAAAUUUACAACUUUGUGCAAAGCAACCUAAAGAACAUCUCCCUUCUUCUUUUUUGAUAGUAAAUGCCCAAAUCCUGCAUCUGUUUUUAGAUAAAUCGUCAAGUUUAAUCCUGCAGCCUUAUUAAACAAAUAUUUGUCUAUAUAGUAAACACAUCCCAAUGAAGCUUGGCAAAGCGAGGGGGAUGAGGUGUGAAUUGUGCUUGUGAAAGGUGGAUUAACUGUGUUUUUCUGAGGAAACUCGUCUGUCUGCUUUGCCAACCACAGAAAUAAAUCCUUAAGAUGCCUUUUCUGUCAAGAAUCACUGUUGCUCAAAAAUCUGUGGCUUUUCAGUGAGAAUAGAGUUUCUGUGUGCAGGUAAAGAUUUGGAGUAUCCGCUAUGAUUGUCAGCUUUACAGGUCACCUAAGCUGCGAAGAAUGCUUGACUGCAUGCAUGGAGAUUUCUGGUCAGAGGAUAAGAAAAAUAAUGUUUAUUUAUUUAUUUAUCUUUAUUCUUUUAAAUCACUCUUGACGCUGUAACUGAAAGCUAGGAAUUCAGACCUCACUGUCCUGGUGAUUCUACCCGUGGCCUUGACAAAUCCCUUUAGUCCAUGUUUGUAAAACACUCCUGUUUAUCCUCUAAUCUUGGAGUGUGCCAUGCCUUUUACAAAUUAGAAAAAGACUGAACUCUUCUUCGUGCUUUGAAAAAAAAAAAAACGGCUUUCCUUGAGACUCCUAGAACAUUUGGAACCUGAGGAGAGUGCUGUAAUUGCUAAUUACUGCUGUAUGUUAGCAGUGCUAAUAAACAUGUUUCUCAAGCUUAUUACUGCUACUCAGAAGAGCUCCAGGCCAGUAAUAAUAUAUCUAAGAAUUUAAAUAGACUGCUGAAGUGUUUAUAGACCAAAGGUAUUUUUGAAAUGCAACAGCUACUCACCACCAUUUCAUAUUAUACACAACAGCACAGGAAAUUUAAUCAAAAGAGCAAAAUGUCAACAGAAAAGCUGACAAGCUUUAAGGUAUUCACGCUUUUCAAGCACAGAAAGUUCUCAACAGCAGUAGUCUCUUGUACAGAGAUUUAUUCCCUCUGAAGACUUUUUACAUGGCUCAUAAAGAGUGAUGGAUGAAGUUAAUUUUUAGUUUAAUCUUUUUCUUCUCAGUUCAGUAAUUUCUUUGAUACUUUGCAAAAAAAUUAGGGAGAAUAUGGAACCACUUACCAGUCAUUAGUGAUCGUGUGUUGCAGACUGUGCACAGGCCACAACAAGUUGCCUGACAUUUCUAGAGAAUGGGAAGAAAGUUUUCCUUUGAAUAAC